Molecule: ribosomal RNA, 111 nt
Filed under: Listeria monocytogenes
Lineage: Bacteria; Bacillati; Bacillota; Bacilli; Caryophanales; Listeriaceae
Description: partial 23S ribosomal RNA
Rfam family: Bacterial large subunit ribosomal RNA
Source: RNAcentral
AGUAAAUUGGUUAAGUUAGAAAGGGCGCACGGUGGAUGCCUUGGCACUAGGAGCCGAAGAAGGACGGGACUAACACCGAUAUGCUUUGGGGAGCUGUACGUAAGCGUUGAU